GCUUUCGCCGCUACACUGGGACCGUCGGGCUGUGCCGGCGCCGCACCCGAAGCGAUAGCGGGCUCCGCGCUCAGGUGCUCAGGUGAUAUGCAAUUGAACUUGAGAUGAAUAACAUCUUUGGGAGAAUUGUUGACAUAUAGUAACUCCACAGCAUGUGGCCCCAGGAACUACCCUAAAUG
Molecule: long non-coding RNA, 179 nt
Organism: Lagenorhynchus albirostris (white-beaked dolphin)
Lineage: Eukaryota; Metazoa; Chordata; Mammalia; Artiodactyla; Delphinidae
Exons: 3
Source: RefSeq, a predicted model, not a curated record